Molecule: RNA transcript, 1671 nt
Organism: Malania oleifera
Lineage: Eukaryota; Viridiplantae; Streptophyta; Magnoliopsida; Santalales; Ximeniaceae
Gene name: probable 3-hydroxyisobutyrate dehydrogenase-like 1, mitochondrial
Exons: 3
Source: RefSeq, a predicted model, not a curated record
AAAUACUUGCCCAUUAUACAUAACAGUCCUCUGGAAAGACCCAGAAACCAAUGCCACUGCCUCUGCCUUAUCUACUCCGUUCGCUCCACCACUCCCAUUCCUACUCCCGCAGCAGCCUCCUCCGUUACGCCGCCACUCAUCUCUGUCGUUCCAUGGCCACCACCACCACCAAUUCCGCCUCUUCCUCCGUCGCCGCCGGCGGCGAGCCCAUUUCCCCAGCCACCACGCGUCUGGGCUGGAUCGGUACCGGCGUCAUGGGCCGAUCCAUGUGCGCCCACCUUAUCAGAGCCGGUUACACUCUCAUCGUCUUCAACCGGACCCUCUCGAAGGCCCAGGCACUCCUCGACAUGGGAGCCCACCUCGCUCCCUCCCCCUCCGCUGUCGCCUCUCAAUCCGACAUCGUCUUCUCCAUCGUCGGCUACCCCUCCGACGUCCGAUCCGUCCUCCUCGACCCCGCCUCCGGCGCCCUUUCCUCCCUCCGCCCUGGCGGCGUCCUCGUCGACAUGACCACCUCCGAUCCCUCCCUCGCUGCCGAAAUCGCCACCUCCGCCGCCUCCAAAGGCUGCGCCUCCGUCGACGCUCCCGUAUCCGGCGGCGACCGCGGCGCCAAGAACGCAGCACUCGCCAUAUUCGCCGGUGGCGAUGAGCCUGUGGUUCACCGCCUCGCCCCAUUGUUCAACCUUCUUGGGAAAGUCAACUACAUGGGUGGGCCGGGAAAGGGGCAAUUCGCGAAGCUCGCGAAUCAAAUCACGAUAGCAUCGACGAUGGUGGGGUUGAUUGAAGGCAUGGUUUAUGCCCAUAAGGCGGGUCUCGAUGUGUGUUUGUAUUUGAAGGCGAUAUCGAGUGGGGCAGCUGGAUCGAAGUCGCUUGAUUUGUACGGGAGCAGGAUACUGAAGAGGGAUUUUGAACCAGGGUUUUACGUGAAUCACUUUGUGAAGGAUUUGGGGAUUUGUUUGAGGGAGUGUGAGAACAUGGGUCUCUCUCUUCCUGGGUUGGCACUUGCUCACCAGCUUUACCUGUCGCUAAUCGCUCAUGGAGAAGGAAAUUUGGGUACUCAAGCGCUUGUUCUGGCUCUCGAGCGCCUCAACAAUGUUUCCCUUGAUUCUGGGACUUCUGCGGCGGAGCCGUCAUAGACUGAUUGUUGAAUCGUUGUAUCGAGUGUGGGGUAUCGCUUGGAGAGGGGGCUCCACCCUAGUUGAAUGAGUGAACCGAGCGUGGGAUAUCACUUGGAGAGGAGCGCUCUAUCCUAUUUGAAGGAGUGUUGUAAAUGUUUGCUCCGCCCGUAAAGGAGUGGUAUAGUGGAAUUCUUAGGUGCGUCGUCUAAGGCGAGGACAUAGGCAGGAGAGAGGUGAAAAGAAAAAUGGAGAAAAAGCCAUUAUUUAGUUUGAAGUGUUAAUCAGAAGUCCUCGUGGCCAACUGGUAUUCCUAAAAGUUUCAUUCCAGCGAGAUUAUCAGAUCAGGACAUGCACCAGGCUCUUUGUUCCUUCCUUGCAAGCAAGCUGGUAAUUAUGUAUGACAUCUAUUGAUGUGUUUGGUUUUUCACAGGACGACCUUAGUGUAAAAUCAUACUUGAAAGAAAGCCAACAUGGCACACGAUGAGAAACCAGUCAUACCAAACCAACACCUCAAUCUUUUUCUAAUCAAUUCCAAAUGAUCUUCUUGUUUUAGAUA